GAGGAGUGAGCCAGGUUUCAGGAGGGGGCACGCAGGAGACCAGCCCUGGAUUCAGACUUGAGCCUGGUCCACACCAGAGGCCGAUAGAAGGCUUGGAUUACAGCAGGGGCAGGUUCUUUCACGAAAUCAAAUUUCUCCACUGAUUUCUGAAUUCAUAGCAAGCUAACUAGAAGAGAUUUUUAAUUCAGAAUGCUGCACUCCAAAAAACUGAGAAAGACAUUGAGGGAGGGAAUAUGGAAAUUUGAUGGUAUCUCGGCUAAGUUUGAUAUUGAGAUUUUUGUAAUAAAUGUUGUUGAAUAAAAAAGGCAUCAAGAUGCCUAAAUCAGAGAGAUAAAAUGAAGAAUAAUUACAGUAUACAAUUUUUGAAUUAUUGUCCAAUCAACUAAAAUUAGAAGUUUUUAACAUGCUAAAAUGGAAAGUUAUUCAACAGAAUGGAAUCCUUUAAAAUAUGAUGGAACUGCCACUUAAGCAUCAGAAGUCUGCUCAGGUGUGACCCUGGGAGCCCAAACUUUUCACGGAACAGCAAGGAACAUCCCUGUGCUCCUCCUUCCCAGUCUCUUUUUUUUUCAGAGGGAGUCUCGCUCUGUUGCCCAGGCUGGAGUGCAGUGGCGAGAUCUCAGCUCACUGCAAGCUCCGUCUCCCGGGUUCACGCCAUUCUCCUGCCUCAGCCUGCCGAGUAGCUGGGACAACAGGCGCCAGCCACCAUGCCCAGGCAUACAAAACCUGCCUUGCCUCUCCCCAGUUUGAACAGUGCUUUUGAACUUUGAUGGAAAAGCCACAUUUGGAAGGUCAUACCACCCUUGACAAACUGCAGUCCCUACUGGCCAUUACACUGCAGAGCCGUGACAAUGAUGGAUCUCCUGUUUGGAAGAGAAUGACCCAGGACAAAAGGGGUGACCAAACCAUGGUCUAAGUGUGAUAUCUGAAGCUGCUUAAUCUGCAAAAGGAAACCCAGUCUGCAGCAUCCUCGGGAGACAGCUGGAUCAGCCAGAGAGCUUCAGAAAGACACACAUCACUCUGCCAGACACACACACUGCUCCAGCUCCAGCAUCCAACAUCUGACCACAUGUCGGCAGCCACUGCUGACCUGGCUCCACCAUUUCUCCCCAGGUCUAAGCUUAAGCCGCACUGCAUUGCUUCCAUUUCUUCAUGCUUGCUCUGUUCCCUUCUACCACAGGGGCUUUGUGCAAGCUCAGCCUCAACAUGGAUCUUCCCCCUUCUUCACCUGGUCAACAGCCACUCAUUCUUCAACCUUAGUUCGAGCAUCAUCAACCUCCCCCGCUAUGUCAGUUCUCCCUGUUAGACACCCUGGCUGUUCCACAUAUCUUUUAUUCAAAGUAGUUACAUAUUAAAGCAUUCCAUUUGUGCAUACAAUUAUUGUAGAAUUACUUCCCAGCAGACAGAUGCUAUAGGAGGGAAGAGACCUUUUCUGCUUAAGUAUCUAGUGCAGUGCCUGGCCCUUAAUAGGUGCUCAACAAAAAUUUUUAAAUGAAUGCUUAAAUACCAUAUCAUGGGUCAUGUCUGGUUGCAAAAAGAUAUUCAUCAUAAUAAAAAUAAUAAAC
Homo sapiens (human) is the source of this 1562-nucleotide long non-coding RNA. RefSeq lists it as uncharacterized. The record is from RefSeq and is marked validated. NCBI's taxonomy places the organism in Eukaryota, Metazoa, Chordata, Mammalia, Primates, Hominidae. The transcript has 4 exons.